This 866-nucleotide ribosomal RNA is filed under the name Micrococcus luteus. RNAcentral describes it as "bacterial SSU rRNA". It matches the Rfam family "Bacterial small subunit ribosomal RNA", at positions 56 to 934 of the family's 1533-position model. Lineage: Bacteria; Bacillati; Actinomycetota; Actinomycetes; Micrococcales; Micrococcaceae. The record is from RNAcentral.
UGCAGUCGACGAUGAAGCCCAGCUUGCUGGGUGGAUUAGUGGCGAACGGGUGAGUAACACGUGAGUAACCUGCCCUUAACUCUGGGAUAAGCCUGGGAAACUGGGUCUAAUACCGGAUAGGAGCGCCUACCGCAUGGUGGGUGUUGGAAAGAUUUAUCGGUUUUGGAUGGACUCGCGGCCUAUCAGCUUGUUGGUGAGGUAAUGGCUCACCAAGGCGACGACGGGUAGCCGGCCUGAGAGGGUGACCGGCCACACUGGGACUGAGACACGGCCCAGACUCCUACGGGAGGCAGCAGUGGGGAAUAUUGCACAAUGGGCGCAAGCCUGAUGCAGCGACGCCGCGUGAGGGAUGACGGCCUUCGGGUUGUAAACCUCUUUCAGUAGGGAAGAAGCGAAAGUGACGGUACCUGCAGAAGAAGCACCGGCUAACUACGUGCCAGCAGCCGCGGUAAUACGUAGGGUGCGAGCGUUAUCCGGAAUUAUUGGGCGUAAAGAGCUCGUAGGCGGUUUGUCGCGUCUGUCGUGAAAGUCCGGGGCUUAACCCCGGAUCUGCGGUGGGUACGGGCAGACUAGAGUGCAGUAGGGGAGACUGGAAUUCCUGGUGUAGCGGUGGAAUGCGCAGAUAUCAGGAGGAACACCGAUGGCGAAGGCAGGUCUCUGGGCUGUAACUGACGCUGAGGAGCGAAAGCAUGGGGAGCGAACAGGAUUAGAUACCCUGCUAGUCCAUGCCGUAAACGUUGGGCACUAGGUGUGGGGACCAUUCCACGGUUUCCGCGCCGCAGCUAACGCAUUAAGUGCCCCGCCUGGGGAGUACGGCCGCAAGGCUAAAACUCAAAGGAAAUUGACGGGGGCCCGCACAAGCGGCG